UACUUUUUUUUUUUUUUUUUUUUUUUUUUUAAGAGUGGGAGAGGGGCAGGGGGAGAAGAAGAGAGAAUCUUAAGCAGGCUCCAUGCCCGGAGCGAAGCUGGAUGUGGUGCUCUAUCUCACCAGCCUGAGAUCAUGACCUGAGUCGAAAUCAAGAGUCAGAUGCUUAACCAACUGAGCUACCCAGGCGCCCCUUACCAUUACCUUUGAUUGUCUAUUAGAGAGUACUUCACGAUUCAUUUCUCAUUUAUGCACAGACUUACAAGAAAAACAUUAAUCAGAUGAAUUAUUUACCAGCACCUACCAAGAGCCCACAAUUAACCACAAAUAAGUAAACUCUGAGGAGCAGGGAUCUGGCCUUUAAUUGUUUCUUAAGCAUUAAAAAGCUUGACCUUGGGAUGCCUGGGUGGCCCAGCAGUUUAGCGCCUGCCUUCAGCUUGGGGCAUGAUCCUGGAGUCCCGGGAUCGAGUCCCACAUCAGGCUUCCUGCGUGGAGCCUGCUUCUGCUUCUCCUUCUGCGUAGGUCUCUGACUCUCCCUCUCUCUCUCUGUGUCUCAUGAAUAAAUAAAUAAUCUUUUUUUUAUAAAUAAAAAAUCUUAAAAAAAAAUAAAAAUAAAAAAUAAAAAGCUUGACCUAGGGACGUCUGGGUGGCUCAGUCGGUGAAGCAUCUGACUCUUGGUUUCAGUUCAGGCUGUGAUCUCGGGGUCUUGAGAUCGAGCCCCACGUCAGACUCUGUGCUCAGCGUGGAAUCUGCUUUUAAAGACACUCUCUCCUGCCUCUUCCUCCCCAUGCAUGCUCUCUCUCUCUGUCUCUCAAAUAAAUAAAUAAAUCUUUUUUAAAAAAAAUUUAAAAGUUUGAUCUGGUAAGUGAGAAGGAAAGGACAAGAACUUGAACCUGCUACUGUCAAACAAAGCUGUCCUAGCAAAAAACCCCAGACUGCCCUCCUGCCUGGCUCCAGAGGAUUCAGGCUUGAAACACUGCAUGGGAAAUUUUCAGUCAAAGUCCUCACCAGUCUCUCCUUUGACUAACAAUCACCAUCCCAGGAAGUGGGAACUAUAGCAACUUUCAUAGUGUAGGUUGGAUAGGGAAGUGGGGAGACCACCUAUACCCUUGAAGCAUAAAUUCUCAUCAAAAAGAUUACAAAGUACAUGGCCUUGGAAGAGAAGAAACACAAACAUGUAUAAAAAUACCUCCUGGAGUUCAAUUAGGAGGAUGAAAUAAAUAAAAUACACAAUUAAAUAGGAGACCAGGCUAAGAUGAUGCCUUGGGAUGCUGAUUGGAGUAGGUAGGCUUCUCCUGCAAAUGAUCUGUCAAGACUGAGAAGGUACAGGCUAUUCUAGGUGAGGAGAACAGUGAGUAACACUGGGAAAUCUCAGGGCGAGGCAGAAGUAGGGAGUGACGGGUAAGGUUAGAGAAGCAAGAAGAACACAGUUUACUAAGUGCUUUCAAAGCUAGAGACUAGUGCCAUGGAAAGAGAUAUGACACGUAUUAA
RNAcentral lists this long non-coding RNA (1488 nucleotides) under Canis lupus familiaris (dog). RNAcentral describes it as "lncRNA (ENSCAFG00000058218.1)". Lineage: Eukaryota; Metazoa; Chordata; Mammalia; Carnivora; Canidae. The record is from RNAcentral.